UGAGGAAUAUUGGUCAAUGGACGAGAGUCUGAACCAGCCACGUAGCGUGCAGGAUGACGGCCCUAUGGGUUGUAAACUGCUUUUGUUUGGGAAUAAUCGACAUUACGUGUAAUGUUUUGCAUGUACCAUUCGAAUAAGGAACGGCUAAUUCCGUGCCAGCAGCCGCGGUAAUACGGAAGGUCCAGGCGUUAUCCGGAUUUAUUGGGUUUAAAGGGAGUGUAGGCGGUUGGUUAAGCGUGUUGUGAAAUGUAGAUGCUCAACAUCUGACUUGCAGCGCGAACUGGCUGACUUGAGUACACACAACGUAGGCGGAAUUCAUGGUGUAGCGGUGAAAUGCUUAGAUAUCAUGAAGAUCUCCGAUUGCGAAGGCAGCUUACGGGAGUGUUACUGACGCUUAAGCUCGAAGGUGCGGGUAUCGAACAGG
RNAcentral lists this ribosomal RNA (424 nucleotides) under Verrucomicrobiota bacterium. RNAcentral describes it as "Verrucomicrobia bacterium partial 16S ribosomal RNA". It matches the Rfam family "Bacterial small subunit ribosomal RNA", at positions 355 to 776 of the family's 1533-position model. The record is from RNAcentral. Lineage: Bacteria; Pseudomonadati; Verrucomicrobiota.